UGUGGAUAUUAUUCCUGAGCGAGAUUAUUUUUUAUUCCAACAGCCGCUACACGCCACCAAUAAAAGAAGCAGCCGAAAUGGAGGUUGAUUGGAUUUUCAGUUUUGUUUAGGCUCUAAAUUAUUGAUAUAUAUAUAUAUAUAAAGAGAUUUCAGUUCAUUUUAGUUUUCAUUUUUCGAUUCCGCAUAUCAAAAGGACAAAAGGAUUUUAAUUUUUCCUUGGUUUCUCACUGUGGGGUUCGUUGAAUUCGUUUUAGUACGGAGAUUUCUGGUUCUGUUUUAUCCAUACUAAUUCUGCUGGAAAUCUCUUGUUGCUAUGGAGUCCGAUUGAAGUGGCGAGUGUCGCUUGAGGUUCACGGUUCCGGUUUGAUUGUUGUUAUCCUGCUCGUUUUCUGUUGCACUUUCAAAUUCUAAUGCCGGUUUGCCUGUAUUCGUUCCUGAACAUAUUAAAUCGAAAGUUGCUCGCAUUCAGGUUCAUAUCCUUGCUCUUUCUCUUAUUUUACUACCGUACUGAUAAAAACAUGAAUUUGAGGUGCUGUUUACUCUUAAGUUCCUGCAGAUGUUCUGAUUUAUUUUGAUCGCAACUUGAAUGCCGUGAGGCCGUUAAGUGCGUUUUGAGUAAUUUAAGUGAUUGAUAUGCUUCAUUCUACUCUUUGUCUGCUCAUGGAUAUAUUAAGAAUUGUUACGUUAGGUUUCAGUAAGUAUUCUGUUUGUGUCAUUCAAGGAAGGUUAAUCCUAUCUUUCUAGGAUCAGAUUAUUAACAUUAUCCCUAUUUUCUUAAAGCUCUCGCUCGUUGUCCUUCAAAUCUAAGCAUGUGAUUAGUAUUUUUCCUAAAAAUGAUUUGUAUAUUUCUGUUGGAUUUGAACAUGGAAGGGAUCUACUUAUAUGAAUUCAAAAGUAAUGUAAUGGAAUCCCAUGGUUUUGAUUGAACAGACUAAUUCGUUAGUCUCAUUUCCUACUAAGACAAUAUUAUACUCAUUCUUCUUUCAAGUUUGGGUCAUAUAUUAAACUCAUCUGAUUUUCCCUCAUUUUCUGUAUUUGAUGCGUACAUGAUACAUAUCUUAUGGAGUCAGUGAGUUGAAUUCGUUUGUACAUGUGCUUCAUAUGUUCGGAUGUUUGUUUGUUCAGAUUACCGUGUAUGUUUAUCUUUAGGGAGUACUGGGUCGUGGGAACUGGUUCAAUCUUUGAUGAAUCCUUGAGUUCCAUUAUUCUCUACGUGGUAUUUGUUUGCUUAUGGUAUUAGUUAGUUAAACACGUAUCAUGAAAGCAUAGGUUGUUUAAAUGAGAGGCAAAUGAAGCAAAAUUCAUUUGGAUGGCGCCGAGGGUGUUGGGUUGAAGUAAAUAAAAUUGGCCUUAAAUGUCUAUCGCUUUAUUUUUUCUACAUCAUCCGCUGGUAGCAUGAUUAGGCCGACCACACCCAAGUAGGCGAACCUCUAGGCGCGUUUUGAAUUUAUUAUCGUGAUUAUGUACACGUUCGCGUGACAUGAUUACGAUUUCUAAAAUGAAUAUUCGUAGCUUGCUUUAGGCGCGGCUUAAUCUAUCAUAGUGAUUGUGUUCACGUUCGAUUGACAUAAUUAUGAUUCUAAAAUAAAUCGAAGUAUGCGUUCACGCAACUUCAGCCAAACUUUCUUAAUAAUAAUAAAGGGUGAUUAAUUUUGGACACGUACGUGUGACAUGAUUCUUGACGCACCGAACAAAAUGAGUACACGUACGCAUGACUCGUUUUAGGAUAAUUUCUUAAAUAAAAGCGGUAAAGGGGUGGAUGCACAUAGGUUCUAAAAUAAGUAAUUAGACAAUUUGAUUAAGCCAAGUAUGAUCAAAGCGACCGUGCUAAAACCACGGAACCCGGGAAUGCCUAACAGCUUCUCCCAGGUUAACAGAAUUCCUUACCUGGAUAUCUGUGUUCACAGACCGUAAAUAGAGUUAAACUUCCUCGAUUCGGGAUUUUGAACCGGUGACUUGGGAUACCAUAAACUAUCCCAAGUGGCGACUCUGAUUUUAGUAAAUAAUCAUGUUUCGAUUGUCACUUAAAUUGGAAAAACUCUCUUAUAUCCCUUUCGUGGUAAUAAAAGGAGGUAUGACAGCUCUGGCGACUCCACUGGGGAUAAGAACCCAGAAUCUCUAGUUCAGGGUUCAGAAUUCGAGCUUGUUAAUAUGAUCUAUGCUUGGCUUUAUUGUUUGUUGAUAUUACUGUAUUUGUGGACUUAAUGUGCUAAUUGCCUCUUAUUUACCGCUUUGAUAUUAUUUGAACUGUAUCAAAUUGUCCUCUUACGCCACCCCUUUGAGUCUUUUAAAAAUGGUGCACACGUUCGCGUGACCCACUUUUUCUGUAGAAGUUAUACCAAAUAGAACGAGGCUGGGCCAGCAACAAGGCCAGGUAGACUUUAGUGCUCCCGUACGUUGCUCCCACCUCGGCUCGAGUUGUCCGCUCUGGUAAGCCAGGUCUUGAACCCAACCCCAGGCUUAAACCUAGAAUAACAUAGCCUCAUGUCGGAUCCGUAGUAGGAACGUUUGUUUGCAUCACAUGUAUUUGACCUCCGGGACUCAACACAAGUGUUGGGUCCGUCUGAGACAGGUGUACCCAAAAUAACAGAUCAUCUUAAUGCAUCCUAUGUGCUACAUGUUGCAUUUCUUCGAGGGUAAAAGGGUCAUUUGGCGGACCAAUGAUAGUUGAGAGCAAAUGAAAAAAGAAAAAAAAGGAUGAAGUGUGAAAAUAAAGCAAGUAGGGCCUAGUUAUGUUUUCUUUCACAUUUUGUUAAGGAAAAGAAAAAAACAUGAAAAAUUCAAAAAAAGAUUUUGCACUUUUUUAUCAUUUUCCGAAAAUAAGAAAAUCAAAAAAAAAUUGAAAAAAAAAAUCCAAAAAGAGUUUACAUGUUUCAUUAUUUUUCAAAAAAAAGAGACAAAAAUAUGUUUUCUCAUAAUUAGUUGUGUUUCAUUAUUUCUCGUCUUUUGGGGCGGAAUACGUAGGCAACCCACAUAGGGUCCGGUCUUCCUAGUAAAUCUUAGGUUCUUGGCUUUGCGGGAUCUUAGCCAAAUUUUGCACUUCUAGCCAUCUUUAGGCCGCAUAAGCCAUUUUGCAAAAAUAGCCUCAAUCAUGUCUUGCAUGUUGUCCAACAGGAAGUGUUAUUGUCUCACAUAGUGUUCUAGGUCUUUAACUUUAUUUGAUCUUAAUUUUAUCAUACAGGUAUGGAUCUACUUACCGGAAUUUGGGCAUGACAGAUGCCUUAUGACCAUCCUAUCAAGAUCGCUCAUUCAGGAGUUUGCUUAAGGAUUUUUUUUUUUAUGUUAUGUUUUGAGUCUGUUUUCUUUUUAUGUCGUCUUUUACCUUCUAGUUUUGUACAAUAAUGCCAAGUCUUUUAGGUGAUAUUAGAGUCUGUCAUAGGCUAGUUAAGUUUGUUGAGUCUUUUGUUAUUGUAUUUCCUAUUUUGUAUUUGAAAAAAGAUGUGUUAUAAAUCAAAAAUCCAAAAAAAGAGAUUUUGCGUUUUAUAUUUCUGUUAGAUGUUUU
Molecule: long non-coding RNA, 3502 nt
Filed under: Nicotiana tabacum (common tobacco)
Lineage: Eukaryota; Viridiplantae; Streptophyta; Magnoliopsida; Solanales; Solanaceae
Description: long non-coding RNA (NTAB_LNC015972)
Source: RNAcentral